Molecule: long non-coding RNA, 304 nt
Filed under: Elaeis guineensis (African oil palm)
Lineage: Eukaryota; Viridiplantae; Streptophyta; Magnoliopsida; Arecales; Arecaceae
Description: long non-coding RNA (EGUI_LNC022468)
Source: RNAcentral
AUGUGAAAGAAUGUAAAAGAACUCACUUUUAGCAAUGGGAUGGUAACUUAGAAAGAUCACUCAAACGGGUCAUUCAGUUUUCUUCCACCGUUCACUUUGCUCAUGGUACAUCUCAUGAAGCCAAUUUAACGAGUGACUAUUGGUUGGAUUAGAUCCAUUGCUUCGCUGGUGGACCAACCCAACCGUACGAUAAUAUAUCCUAAGAUGUGUAAUGUAAUCGAAAAAGAGCGCAGCACACGUGCUUCCAUGCUUGUUCUUCGUGGCUAAACUGAUCUACCAACUCAAAGGUGGAUCUGGUUCUAUU